RNAcentral lists this signal recognition particle RNA (148 nucleotides) under Homo sapiens (human). Its description in RNAcentral is "Metazoan signal recognition particle RNA". It matches the Rfam family "Metazoan signal recognition particle RNA". From Rfam's summary of the family: The signal recognition particle (SRP) is a universally conserved ribonucleoprotein. It is involved in the co-translational targeting of proteins to membranes. The eukaryotic SRP consists of a 300-nucleotide 7S RNA and six proteins: SRPs 72, 68, 54, 19, 14, and 9. The record is from Rfam by way of RNAcentral. Lineage: Eukaryota; Metazoa; Chordata; Mammalia; Primates; Hominidae.
GCCAGGCAUGGUGGCGCAUGCCUGUAGUCCCAGCUACUCGGGAGGCUGAGGCAGGAGAAUCGCUUGAACCCAGGAGAUGGAGGUUGCAGUGAGCCAAGAUCAUGCCAUUGCACUCCAGCCUGGGUGACAGAGUGAGACUCUGUCUCAA